Molecule: ribosomal RNA, 232 nt
Filed under: uncultured bacterium
Lineage: Bacteria
Description: partial 16S ribosomal RNA
Rfam family: Bacterial small subunit ribosomal RNA
Source: RNAcentral
CGGGGUGAGUAACGCGUGGAUAACCUGCCUCACACUGGGGGAUAACAGUUAGAAAUGACUGCUAAUACCGCAUAAGCGCACAGUACCGCAUGGUACAGUGUGAAAAACUCCGGUGGUGUGAGAUGGAUCCGCGUCUGAUUAGCCAGUUGGCGGGGUAACGGCCCACCAAAGCGACGAUCAGUAGCCGACCUGAGAGGGUGACCGGCCACAUUGGGACUGAGACACGGUCCAA